Molecule: ribosomal RNA, 250 nt
Filed under: uncultured bacterium
Lineage: Bacteria
Description: partial 16S ribosomal RNA
Rfam family: Bacterial small subunit ribosomal RNA
Source: RNAcentral
CGUAGGCGCGAGCGUUGUCCGGAAUUAUUGGGCGUAAAGAGCUCGUAGGCGGCUUGUCGCGUCGGAUGUGAAAGCCCGGGCUUAACUCCGGGUCUGCAUUCGAUACGGGCAGGCUAGAGUUCGGUAGGGAGAUCGGAAUUCCUGGUGUAGCGGUGAAAUGCGCAGAUAUCAGGAGGAACACCGGUGGCGAAGGCGGAUCUCUGGGCCGAUACUGACGCUGAGGAGCGAAAGCGUGGGAGCGAACAGGAUU